RNAcentral lists this non-coding RNA (30 nucleotides) under Mus musculus (house mouse). Lineage: Eukaryota; Metazoa; Chordata; Mammalia; Rodentia; Muridae. The record is from RNAcentral.
UCCAAACCUAGAAUCUGAUGGGCUUCCCAA